UACGUAGGGAGCGAGCGUUGUCCGGAAUUACUGGGCGUAAAGAGCUCGUAGGCGGUUUGUCACGUCGUCUGUGAAAUCCUAGGGCUUAACCCUGGACGUGCAGGCGAUACGGGCUGACUUGAGUACUGCAGGGGAGACUGGAAUUUCUGGUGUAGCGGUGAAAUGCACAGAUAUCAGGAAGAACACCGAUGGCGAAGGCAGCUCUCUGGGUAGUAACUGACGCUGAGGCACGAAAGCGUGGGUAGCAAACAGG
This 253-nucleotide ribosomal RNA is filed under the name uncultured bacterium. Its description in RNAcentral is "partial 16S ribosomal RNA". It matches the Rfam family "Bacterial small subunit ribosomal RNA", at positions 524 to 776 of the family's 1533-position model. The record is from RNAcentral.